Molecule: long non-coding RNA, 1320 nt
Filed under: Homo sapiens (human)
Lineage: Eukaryota; Metazoa; Chordata; Mammalia; Primates; Hominidae
Description: long independently transcribed non-coding RNA 3070 (LINC03070)
Source: RNAcentral
GGGAGACUGAUUUGAGUAAUAAUAAAACUACUGUCUCCCACACAGCCGGCUCUGCAUGAAUUGCUCUUUAUUGCAAUUCCCCUGUCUUGAGAAAUCGCUUCUGUCUAGGCAGCGGGCAAGGUGAGCCCAUUGGGCAGUUACAAGGAGACACGGAGACACAGAGACACAAAGACAGACACACAAAAAAGAGACUGUCAUGUGAAAAGACAGACACACAGAGAGAACAUCGUAAGAAGACAGAGGAGGAGAUUGGAGAGAAGCAACUGUAAGCCAAGGAACACCAAAGACUGCAGGAAACCCCAAAAACUAGGAACAGGGCAUGGAACAGAUUCUACCCAUAUUCUCAGGAAGAGUCCCUGCCAACACCUGGAAUUCAAGCUUCUGGAUUCCAGAUCUGUGAGUGCUUCUCAAAAUUUAACAUGCAUAUGAAUCAUCUAGGGAUUUUGUUAAAAUACAAGUCCUGCCUGGAUUGUUCAGGGGUGAGGUGCACGGAAUCUGCAUUUCUAAUGAACUCUGAGGUUGAGCUGAUGUAGCUGCAAGGAUUCGAUCUGCAGAUCUACAGUGUCCAAUAUGGUAGCCACUAGCCACGUGUGGUUAAUUAAAUUUAAUAAAUUUAAGAAAAAACCUGGGCUUAGAUAAUGAUUACGCCAAACCACUGGAUUCAAGAAAAAGCUCGUCAUGCCCAACUAUUGCAUGACAGUAUGUGAGAGCCAACCGACUAAAGAUAUUUUAGGAGAAUAAAAUAUUUGGAGAGCAUUGGAGUAAGGACUGUCAUUCCUGGAAUGGAAGCAUUUAAUUAAAAUGACCAUAAGCCUGAAGUGACUGGGGCAUGGGAAUAUCCUUGAUGAGAAGAUAGUGAAGCAUGUAACACCCUGGGAUAGAUGGUGCUGAUGGAACAUUUUGAGGAGACCCAAGUUGUUGGUGGAGGUGAUGGGAGACUCAGGACAACAGAAAGUAUGGGAUUUUCAAUGCUGCAGAAAUGGGGCUGAUAUGGUUUGGCUCUGUCCCCACCCAAAUAUCACCUUGAACUGUAGCUCCCAUAAUUCCCAUGUGUGGUGGGAGGGACCCAGUGGGAGGUAAUUGAAUCAUGGGGGCUGGUUUCUCCCAUGCUAUUCUCAUGAUAGUGAGUAAGUCUCACGAGAUCUGAUGGUUUUAUAAAGGGGAGUUUCCCUACACAAAUUCUGUCUUGCCUGCUGCCAUGUAAGACGUGACUUUGCUCCUUAUUCACCUUCUGCUGCGAUUGUGAUGCCACCCCCAGCCAUGAGUGAGCCAAACUCACUGUUACUGUGAGUCAAUUAAACCUCUUUCCUUUAUAAAUUA